GCAUCUCCCUUACACUGAGAAGUCACCCGUGCAAAUCGGGUCGCCCUGA
RNAcentral lists this transfer RNA (49 nucleotides) under Aspidophoroides monopterygius. RNAcentral describes it as "partial tRNA-Val". RNAcentral also lists the same sequence under 7 other names. Lineage: Eukaryota; Metazoa; Chordata; Actinopteri; Perciformes; Agonidae. The record is from RNAcentral.